Molecule: ribosomal RNA, 477 nt
Filed under: uncultured organism
Description: partial 16S ribosomal RNA
Rfam family: Bacterial small subunit ribosomal RNA
Source: RNAcentral
UACACUCCUACGGGAGGCAGCAGUGGGGAAUUUUGGACAAUGGGCGAAAGCCUGAUCCAGCAAUGCCGCGUGAGUGAAGAAGGCCUUCGGGUUGUAAAGCUCUUUUGUCAGGGAAGAAACGGUGAGAGCUAAUAUCUUUUGCUAAUGACGGUACCUGACGAAUAAGCACCGGCUAACUACGUGCCAGCACCCGCGGUAAUACGUAGGGUGCAAGCGUUAAUCGGAAUUACUGGGCGUAAAGCGUGCGCAGGCGGUUUUGUAAGUCUGAUGUGAAAUCCCCGGGCUCAACCUGGGAAUUGCAUUGGAGACUGCAAGGCUAGAAUCUGGCAGAGGGGGGUAGAAUUCCACGUGUAGCAGUGAAAUGCGUAGAUAUGUGGAGGAACACCGAUGGCGAAGGCAGCCCCCUGGGUCAAGAUUGACGCUCAUGCACGAAAGCGUGGGGAGCAAACAGGAUUAGAAACCCGGGUAGUCCCAUGA